RNAcentral lists this ribosomal RNA (1360 nucleotides) under metagenome. RNAcentral describes it as "bacterial LSU rRNA". It matches the Rfam family "Bacterial large subunit ribosomal RNA", at positions 1580 to 2925 of the family's 2925-position model. The record is from RNAcentral.
AGUCGACGAAGUUCCUGACGCCAUACCUCCAAGAAAAUCCUCUAGGAAGAGAGCGCGUGCCCGUACCAAAACCGACACAGGUGGACAAGUUGAGAAUACUAAGGUGUGCGAGAUAACCCUCGUUAAGGAACUCGGCAAAAUCGUCCCGUAACUUCGGGAGAAGGGACGCCCCGUUAGAGUGUAGCCACUUGCUGGUGAAGCUUGAGGGGGCCGCAGUGAAUAGGCUCAAGCGACUGUUUACCAAAAACACAGGUCUCUGCUAAGUCGUAAGACGACGUAUAGGGGCUGACGCCUGCCCGGUGCCGGAAGGUUACGUGGAGAUGUUAGGGUUCGCCCGAAGCAUUGAAACUAAGCCCCGGUAAACGGCGGCCGUAACAAUAACGGUCCUAAGGUAGCGAAAUUCCUUGUCGGGUAAGUUCCGACCUGCACGAAUGGCGUAACGACUUGAGCGCUGUCUCAACGAGGGGCUCGGUGAAAUUGCAGUCUCGGUGAAGAUGCCGAGUACCCGCGGCUAGACGGAAAGACCCCGUGAACCUUUACUACAACCUGGUAUUGGAGUUCGGUCCAUUUCGCUCAGAAUAGGUGGGAGACUUUGAAGCAUCGAUUGCGGUCGGUGUGGAGUCAUCUUUGAGAUACCACCCUUGGUGUAUUGGACUUCUAACAGUAGGCCGUAAUCCGGCUACUGAACAGUGCCAGGCGGGUAGUUUGACUGGGGCGGUCGCCUCCUAAAAUGUAACGGAGGCGUACAAAGGUUCCCUCAGUACGGUUGGAAACCGUGCGUAGAGUGCAAAGGCAUUAAGGGAGCUUGACUGCGAGACUGACAGGUCGAGCAGGUACGAAAGUAGGUCUUAGUGAUCCGGCGGUAGCGAAUGGAAGCGCCGUCGCUCAACGGAUAAAAGGUACUCCGGGGAUAACAGGCUUAUCGGGCCCAAGAGUUCACAUCGACGGCCCGGUUUGGCACCUCGAUGUCGGCUCGUCGCAUCCUGGGGCUGUAGUAGGUCCCAAGGGUUGGGCUGUUCGCCCAUUAAAGCGGCACGCGAGCUGGGUUCAGAACGUCGCGAGACAGUUCGGUCCCUAUCUGCCGUGGGCGUUGGAGAAUUGAGAGGAGUCGUCCCUAGUACGAGAGGACCGGGAUGAACGUACCUCUGGUGUAUCUGUUGUCCUGCCAAGGGCAUUGCAGGUUAGCUACGUACGGAUCGGAUAACCGCUGAAAGCAUCUAAGCGGGAAGCCGACCUCAAGAUAAGUUCUCCCAUCCCCUAGAGGGAGUAAGACCCCUGGUAGACCACCAGGUUGAUAGGCUGGAUCUGGAAGGGCGGUGACGCCUGAAGGAGACCAGUACUAAUGGGUCGAGGGCUUGAC